CGCUGUGGUUGAAUGCCAACAGAGGUAAUAGGAUUGAGAAUAGAGAAGGAUAACCAACAAUUUGAAGAAAGGGAGAGACGGAAAGUAAAGAGCGAGACGACUCAUCCCUGCUUCAUCUCAUCCCCCGUGGUGUUGUUUUGCUCUGUGAGCAAGUUGGUUCGAAGAAUGGCGAUCCACUUCUCAAAACCUGCAGCUGUUAGUGGGUAGUAAUAGCUCAUUUGGUUUGUGCUUAAGCUGCUUUCGUUUGCUUUUGAUUAAAGGGAUUAUGUCUCCAACUCCGGCUGCUCUUUCUGAAUAGCAUUGAAAUCUAAGAAGUAAGCAAAUGGAAAGCUACCUCCAACUGCCACAAUCUCAGGUGCAUGCCCCCUGUUCUGUAAGCCUCUUGAAUCUUUCUCCUAGCUUUUGACAUGACUAAUGGUUUGUUUCUCCAUUUACUUUCAUGGGUUACAGUAGGAUAUGCAGCAGUCAUAGAGAGGCCUUGAAGCAAAUUACAUGAAUCUGAAACGUCUGGUAAUCAUCGUAAUUAGUCGACUGUGAUAUACUGAAAACAGCUGGGAUUGAAUGUUACAGCUGGUAGAAGAAAAUUGGGCGAGAAAGGUGGAAUCUUUUGUAUGCACUGAUGCUGCAGGAGUUGAUAUGGUAUUUGAUUUAGAUGCUUGGUUCAUGAGUUCCUUAGUCAUGUUACAUGAUAAUAACCCAUGAAAGAAAUAACACAUUUCUUUGUGAUUACUGGAAAAGAGGGAAAAUUGUGAGGCAUUAGCUAUAAUUAUAUUGAGCUUAACUAGUUUUUUCUUGGUUUAUGUUCAGUAUAUAAAUUGGCAAGGUCCUCAAUUUUAUACUUGAUUCCCCAUGCUAACAAAAAGUUCAAGGCUUGAUUGUUCAUAUGUGAGAAGACAAAUAUAUUGAUUGGAUGAUAUUAAUCACAUCAACUGACCGAUCUUUCGUUACUUACAGGCUGGAAUUGUCAUGUUGGAAAUGCUUACGAACACGAUAGAGAACGGAGCAACAGUUAUCGGGUCCGAUAGUCUGGCCUGAACAGGUUCCAACUGAGGUAUAGUUCCGGUAGAAGUAUCCAUAGCUAAUACUUUCCCGUUCAAAAGUACAGUCUGGCUGUGUAAAUCGCCACCGUUAGCAGUUAAAUGAUAUUCCUUUCUUGAAGUUGCAUCGACCUUGGAACCCGAUCUCCUCAUCUUUGCAAAUUUUGUUCUUCGAUUGUGGUAGCGUUUGACUGUCUGAACAGCGGUGGCAUCUUCAUUCGAGACACGAACGCUAACUGUAGUAUUGCCAUCAAGAUUUAUCAACAGUAAUGUGAUUCCUUGCUGCAUUUUCAGUAUAUUAGUCGACUUGACAUGAAUAUAUCCAUCAUUUUGUUAGUUUCAGUUGUUGACUUUACUUACAUAUGUCUUUGAACAGUGAGCAUAAGCGCGUAUCUUUUUGGUUCCGGAGAAACUCGCGGGGAGCACAGUUCUUCCCAUCAAACGGUGCCACAAGAGUGCACUAGUCAACAUAGGGCAAAACAUAAGAGUUAACUAGAGGAAAAGCUGAUAUUAGAGGAGGAUUAUAACAUACUAAAGGUCUCCAGUCCUUUUACUUUUCUUAUUGCAUGGUUGCAGCUGAAGCUCACCUGUAGUAGUCUGGGUUCGGAACGAAGGUGGUCGUGUCGAGAAGGCCGUAAUUGCCUCCGACUAAUGACUGCCGACAGUAAGUUUUGGUGUCGUAAGAUGCUGCCAUUCCUAACUGGUCCAAGUACCUGUUAGGAAUGACAAUAUCAACAGAUCGAAUAAAAGAGCAGUACAAAGUUCGAAAGGAAAACGACUUGG
This 1820-nucleotide long non-coding RNA is filed under the name Linum usitatissimum (flax). RNAcentral describes it as "long non-coding RNA (LUSI_LNC007827)". The record is from RNAcentral. Lineage: Eukaryota; Viridiplantae; Streptophyta; Magnoliopsida; Malpighiales; Linaceae.